GAACAUUCCAUCAUAGAUAGUCUAAACUAUACCUUUUUAGAAUUGUUAUGAUCAGACAAAUGUAGUGCAGUUUUCAACAUAAUUGGAGAAUUUUUAAAUUUUGAUCCCUGUGUAAUCCUUUAUUGACCACUACCUGACUACAGUUGCCACCCUGGGAUUGCUAUACAUUUUUAUGUCGGCCAUGGUACACUGAGGCUGGAUUCUAAGUGACGUUUCGUCACCUUAAGUGGUACUUAGGUCAAAAUUGUUGACUGGCUCGUGGACUGUCUAUGCUAUCAGGGCUGAACUUCUUCAGGUGGGAUCUGUGCUUCCAUUUUGGAGAUAGUUAUCAUCCCAUGAGACUGCAAGGAAAGACUUGCU
Thalassophryne amazonica is the source of this 360-nucleotide long non-coding RNA. RefSeq lists it as uncharacterized. NCBI's taxonomy places the organism in Eukaryota, Metazoa, Chordata, Actinopteri, Batrachoidiformes, Batrachoididae. The transcript is spliced from 3 exons. The record is from RefSeq and is a predicted model, not a curated record.